This 108-nucleotide non-coding RNA is filed under the name uncultured Mallomonas. Lineage: Eukaryota; Synurophyceae; Synurales; Mallomonadaceae. The record is from RNAcentral.
AUGAUAGAGAGAGUAAGAGAGAGAGAAGGAUGGAAAGAAUAUAUGGAAGCGUUUCACUAUUCGUUUUUCUAAUUGUCUUUAUUUCUCUCUCUCUCUUUCUCUCUCUUU